Molecule: ribosomal RNA, 307 nt
Filed under: uncultured bacterium
Lineage: Bacteria
Description: bacterial SSU rRNA
Rfam family: Bacterial small subunit ribosomal RNA
Source: RNAcentral
GACGAACGCUGGCGGCGUGCCUAACACAUGCAAGUCGAGCGAUGAAGUUCCUUCGGGAACGGAUUAGCGGCGGACGGGUGAGUAACACGUGGGCAACCUGCCUUAUAGAGGGGAAUAGCCUUCCGAAAGGAAGAUUAAUACCGCAUAAGAUUGUAGCUUCGCAUGAAGUAGCAAUUAAAGGAGCAAUCCGCUAUAAGAUGGGCCCGCGGCGCAUUAGCUAGUUGGUGAGGUAGCGGCUCACCAAGCCUUCGAUGGAUAGGGGUUCUGAGAGGAAGGUCCCCCACAUUGGAACUGAGACACGGUCCAA